GACAGAGGGUGCAAACGUUGCUCGGAAUCACUGGGCGUAAAGGGCGUGUAGGCGGGAAUGUAAGUCGGGCGUGAAAUCCCUAGGCUCAACCUAGGAACUGCACUCGAAACUGCGUUUCUUGAGUGCCGGAGAGGAAAGCGGAAUUCCUGGUGUAGAGGUGAAAUUCGUAGAUAUCAGGAGGAACACCAGUGGCGAAGGCGGCUUUCUGGACGGUAACUGACGCUGAGACGCGAAAGCGUGGGGAGCAAACAGG
RNAcentral lists this ribosomal RNA (253 nucleotides) under uncultured bacterium. RNAcentral describes it as "partial 16S ribosomal RNA". It matches the Rfam family "Bacterial small subunit ribosomal RNA", at positions 524 to 776 of the family's 1533-position model. The record is from RNAcentral.